CCAAACGUCAAAUUUUGAAGUUUUAUUAAAGGUCAAAUUCAGGCAUUAAAUCCAGGCAUUAACUCUGAAUGGUUAAGGUAAGGCAUUAACUCUGAAUGGUUAAGGUAAGGGGUUAAGGUUAGGCAUUAACUCUGAAUGGUUAAGGUAAGGGGUUAAGGUUAGGCAUUAACUCUGAAUGGUUAAGGUAAGGGGUUAAGGUUAGGCAUUAACUCUGAAUGGUUAAGGUAAGGGGUUAAGGUUAGGCAUUAACUCUGAAUGGUUCAGGUUAGGCAUUAACUCUGAAUGGUUCAGGUUAGGGGUUAAGGUUAGGCA
Molecule: long non-coding RNA, 312 nt
Organism: Oncorhynchus keta (chum salmon)
Lineage: Eukaryota; Metazoa; Chordata; Actinopteri; Salmoniformes; Salmonidae
Exons: 3
Source: RefSeq, a predicted model, not a curated record